Molecule: ribosomal RNA, 937 nt
Filed under: Hypoglossum geminatum
Lineage: Eukaryota; Rhodophyta; Florideophyceae; Ceramiales; Delesseriaceae
Description: eukaryotic LSU rRNA
Rfam family: Eukaryotic large subunit ribosomal RNA
Source: RNAcentral
CUCACCUGCCGAAUGAAUUAGCCCUGAAAAUGGAUGGCGCUGAAGCGGGUAGCCGAAACCACGCCGUCUGGGCUAGUUAAGCCUUCAGAUGAGUAGGAGGAACCUGUCGGUCGUAUCGAAGCGUGUGUGCAAGCAUGCGUGGAACGGCCGAUAAUGCAGAUCUUGGUGUCAGUAGCAAAUAUUCAAAUGAGAACCUUGAAGGGCGAAGCGGGGAAGGGUUCCACGCGAACAUUGAUUGAGCGUGGGUGAGUCGUUCCUAAGCCGCGUGGCAAUAGCUAAUUAUCGGCGAAAGGGAAGCAGGUUGAUAUUCCUGCACACGGAUGUGGAUGCGGUGACGCACUUAACUGGGGCAGUGAAGCUGGCGGUAGCUCUGGACAGAGUUUUCUUUUCUGUUUAACCGUACCGCGCGCGCUGUGUGGAAUCCGCUUGUCGGGAGAAACACGCGUGAACGGGCAUAGCGCCGGGAUUUUUCCGGCGUCCAGAUCGCUACCGACGGACCUUGAAAAACUGCUUGCUGGCGUAGUAUACAUGAAUUUUAUUUGUGUGUAUUGCGUAAAAGAAAUCCACGCCGUGACGUACCCAUAACCGCAUCAGGUCCCCAAGGUGAACAGCCUCUGCUCGAUAUGGAAAAUGCAGGUAAGGGAAGUCGGCAAAUUGGACCCGUAACUUUGGGAAAAGGGUUGGCUCUAGUGCUGCGUGGGAGUGGUUGUCUUGUGGUGGGGGUGAACUUGCUGGCUUUGCUGCGGCGGACUCUUGUGCGUUUUUGAGAGGAGAGGGAGGGGAGUAGGGGAGGCGGAGUCAAUUUUUUUGGCGCCAAAUUUCUUGCUUCCUUUUUUUUCAUUUUCUUGGCGUGCUGUUCGUUGUGGUGGGGCUGUGUGGGGGCACUUCUGCUCUUGAUGACGCCCACAGCAUGCGGCAAACUAGAACUGAAACGGUC